AGAAUCAACGCUGGCGGCGUGCCUAACACAUGCAAGUCGAACGAGAAAGUGGAGCAAUCCAUGAGUACAGUGGCGUACGGGUGAGUAACACGUGACUACCUACCCUCGAGUGGGGAAUAACCUCGGGAAACCGGGGCUAAUACCGCAUAACAUCUACGGAUCAAAUGCGUAAGCAGCUUGAGGAGGGGGUCGCGGCCGAUUAGCUAGUUGGUGAGGUAAUGGCUCACCAAGGCAAUGAUCGGUAGCCGGCCUGAGAGGGCGCACGGCCACACUGGAACUGAAACACGGUCCAGACUCCUACGGGAGGCAGCAGUGGGGAAUUUUGCGCAAUGGGGGAAACCCUGACGCAGCAACGCCGCGUGGAGGAUGAAGCCCCUUGGGGUGUAAACUCCUUUCGAUCGGGACGAUUAUGACGGUACCGGAAGAAGAAGCACCGGCUAACUCUGCGCCAGCAGCCGC
RNAcentral lists this ribosomal RNA (459 nucleotides) under uncultured bacterium. RNAcentral's name for it is "SSU rRNA". It matches the Rfam family "Bacterial small subunit ribosomal RNA", at positions 26 to 518 of the family's 1533-position model. The record is from RNAcentral.